This 327-nucleotide ribosomal RNA is filed under the name uncultured eukaryote. RNAcentral's name for it is "partial 18S ribosomal RNA". It matches the Rfam family "Eukaryotic small subunit ribosomal RNA", at positions 1470 to 1796 of the family's 1831-position model. The record is from RNAcentral.
CCCUUAGAUGUCCUGGGCCGCACGCGCGUUACACUGAUGCAUUCAACGAGCUUAUAACCUUGGCCGAGAGGCCUGGGCAAUCUUGUUAACGUGCAUCGUGAUAGGGAUAGAUUAUUGAAAUUAUUAAUCUUGAACGAGGAAUUCCUAGUAAACGCAGAUCAUCAAUCUGCAUUGAUUACGUCCCUGCCCUUGUACACACCGCCCGUCGCACCUACCGAUUGGAUGGUCCGGUGAAGCCUCGGGAUUGUGGUUCUUGCCGCUUUAUUGUAGCGUGACCGCGAGAACUUGUCUAAACCUUAUCAUCUAGAGGAAGGUGAAGUCGUAACA